RNAcentral lists this ribosomal RNA (451 nucleotides) under uncultured bacterium. Its description in RNAcentral is "bacterial SSU rRNA". It matches the Rfam family "Bacterial small subunit ribosomal RNA", at positions 349 to 793 of the family's 1533-position model. The record is from RNAcentral.
CAGCAGUGGGGAAUAUUGCACAAUGGGGGAAACCCUGAUGCAGCCAUGCCGCGUGUGUGAAGAAGGCCUUCGGGUUGUAAAGCACUUUCAGUAGGGAGGAAGGUAGUGUAGUUAAUACCUGCAUUAUUUGACGUUACCUACAGAAGAAGCACCGGCUAACUCCGUGCCAGCAGCCGCGGUAAUACGGAGGGUGCGAGCGUUAAUCGGAAUUACUGGGCGUAAAGCGCAUGCAGGCGGCCUGUUAAGUCAGAUGUGAAAGCCCGGGGCUUAACCUCGGAAUUGCAUUUGAAACUGGCAGGCUAGAGUCUUGUAGAGGGGGUAGAAUUUCAGGUGUAGCGGUGAAAUGCGUAGAGAUCUGAAGGAAUACCAGUGGCGAAGGCGGCCCCCUGGACAAAGACUGACGCUCAGAUGCGAAAGCGUGGGGAGCAAACAGGAUUAGAUACCCUGGUAG